CUGUUUAAAACAAACAGCAAUUGAUGGAUAAAUCAGGAAUAGAUUCUCUUGACCAUGUGACAUCUGAUGCUGUGGAACCUGCAAAUCGAAGUGAUAACUCUUCUGAUAGCAGCUUAUUUAAAACUCAGUGUAUCCCUUACUCACCUAAACGGGAGAAAAGAAACCCCAUUCGAAAAUUUGUUUGUACACCUGAAAGUGUUCACGUAAGUGAUUCAUCAAGUGACUCAUCUUUUGAACCAAUACCAUUGACUAUAAAAGCUAUUUUUGAAAGAUUCAAGAACAAGAAAAAGAGAUAUAAAAAAAAGAAAAAGAGGAGGUACCAGCCAACAGGAAGACCAAGGAAGGAGAAAUCCUAUAUACUCACUAAUAGAUAAGAAGAAACAAUUUAGAAGCAGAGAAUCUGGCUUCCCAUUUUUAGAAUCAGAGAAUGAAAAAAACCCACCUUAGAGAAAAAUUUUAACGUUUGAGCAAGCUGUUGUAAGAGGAUUUUUUAGCUAUAUUGAAAAUCUGAACUAUGAACACCACCUGAAAGAAUCAUUGAAACAAAUGAAUGUUGGUGAAGAUUUAGAAAAUGAAGAUUUUGAUAGUUGUAGAUAUAAAUUUUUGGAUGAUGAUGGAUCCAUUUCUCCUAUUGAGGAGUCAAUGGGGAUAGUUUCAUAGUAAGUUCUGAAUUCCCUGUAAGACUGAGUGUAUACUUAGAAGAAGAGGAUAUUACUGAAGAACCUGCUUUGUCUAAAAAGAGAGCUACAAAAGCCAAAAAUACUGGACAGAGAGGCCUGAAAAUGUGACAGGGUCAUGAAUGUCAAAGGCUUU
This is an RNA transcript of Nomascus leucogenys (northern white-cheeked gibbon), 813 nucleotides long. It is a transcript of the gene named TATA box-binding protein-associated factor RNA polymerase I subunit D pseudogene, with no coding region annotated. The record is from RefSeq and is a predicted model, not a curated record. The transcript has a single exon. NCBI's taxonomy places the organism in Eukaryota, Metazoa, Chordata, Mammalia, Primates, Hylobatidae.